This is a long non-coding RNA of Plodia interpunctella (Indianmeal moth), 447 nucleotides long. RefSeq lists it as uncharacterized. The transcript has 2 exons. The record is from RefSeq and is a predicted model, not a curated record. Lineage: Eukaryota; Metazoa; Arthropoda; Insecta; Lepidoptera; Pyralidae.
UCGUUUUGUGUGUAUAAUUUGUAUCCCAGCACUUUUACAUAGAUAGUAACGAAAUGGAAUAAACUUACAUACUGUGCCGACCCCAUACAUAAGUGGGAUAAGGUCAAGAAGAAGAAGAAUACUUUAACAUAGAUACUCAAUAUCUUUCCGUAGCUAUUGUUGUUGCAAUUGGGAUGCAAAGCCUUGACUUGACGACUUUAGUGAAAUGGUGGAUCAUGACGAGAUCCUAAUCAUUAACAUUUACCCUUGGGCGUCACAGCUGAGAAUGUAACCAGGAACACACGAGGAUUAGAGAGGAAAUCUCCAGAAGUGCCGCCUGCGCCUAUACAGCCGUGUUGCGUAAACGCCGUUUCCGCCCGGUAUUAGAAGUGACAAACUGUGUGAAAACUCAAAAAGUGCUGUUUAGAUGGGCUCCGCUUAAUGGCUUGGCUUUAUGGCGGGAAUAAA